GCCAGGCACGGUGGCGCGCACCUGUAGUCCCAGCUACUCGGGAGGCUGAGGUGGGAGGAUCGCUUGAGCCCAGGAGUUCUGGGCUGCAGUGUGCUAUGCCGAUUGGAUGUCCACACUAAGUUCAGCAUCAAUAUGGUGACUUCCCGGGAGUGGGGGACCACCACGUUGCCUAAGGAGGGGUGAACCAACCCAGGUUGGAAACGGAGCAGGUCAAAACUCCCGUGCUAAUCAGUAGUGGGAUCGUGCCUGUGAAUAGCCACUGCACUCCAGCCUGGGCAACAUAGCGAGACCCUGUCUCUU
Callithrix jacchus (white-tufted-ear marmoset) is the source of this 300-nucleotide unclassified non-coding RNA. It matches the Rfam family "Metazoan signal recognition particle RNA". From Rfam's summary of the family: The signal recognition particle (SRP) is a universally conserved ribonucleoprotein. The record is from Ensembl. NCBI's taxonomy places the organism in Eukaryota, Metazoa, Chordata, Mammalia, Primates, Cebidae.